This is a long non-coding RNA of Mauremys mutica (yellowpond turtle), 647 nucleotides long. RefSeq lists it as uncharacterized. The record is from RefSeq and is a predicted model, not a curated record. NCBI's taxonomy places the organism in Eukaryota, Metazoa, Chordata, Testudines, Geoemydidae. The transcript is spliced from 3 exons.
CAGAGAUUCAUGGAUUUGCAGGAUUGAGCCAGAUCUGGAAACUUCACCACACAAUGCCUGGUGUGACAUCAUCAACUGUCGUCACUCUGGCUGUCUCAACAGUCCUUGGUAGACUUGGCACAGCAUUUGAGAGGUGUGUGGAUGACUCUAAGCCACUUUUGCUCUACCAAAAUUCUUGGGCUGUCUAUGGUCCUACCUGGAACCCAGGUGAGGAUCACAUGGACACAGGAACAGAGCUGGAACAAGACACCAUGACAGCUGGGACUGACGAGAACACAGGAUACAACAGGAUGGGUCUUUAGGUGGAACAGAUAGUUCAGGAAUAUAAAAGAACUUGUUAACAACAGCAACGUGUGUACCAUGCAAGAUGCAACUGUGAUACAUCUCCAUAUUACCAGCUUUAUGAUCUUGCAGGACUUCCUUUUCCCAGAUGCAUUUGCAAAUGUUUGUUUUACAUUUAUACAAUCCAGUGAAAAGAAUGAUCCUGAAACAAAAUGAUGAAGUGAACCUAUCUAAGCAGUCAAUUGCAAAGGGGGAAUGGUUUAUACACAGAACAGUCUGUCCAGGAUGCUAUCAGUCCACACCAUCUGUAUUCAUUACAGCUAUUUAAUUAUUUUCUCAAAAACACAUACAAAUUAUUUCAAGGA